UACGUAGGGGGCGAGCGUUGUCCGGAUUCAUUGGGCGUAAAGCGCGCGCAGGCGGUGGCGUGAGUCCGGCGUGAAAGCCCCCAGCUCAACUGGGGGAGGCCGUCGGAGACCGCGGCACUUGAGGCCGGUAGGGGAGAGCGGAAUUCCCGGUGUAGUGGUGGAAUGCGUAGAUAUCAGGAGGAACACCGGUGGCGAAGGCGGGUCUCUGGGCCGAUACUGACGCUGAGGAGCGAAAGCGUGGGGAGCGAACAGG
Molecule: ribosomal RNA, 253 nt
Filed under: uncultured bacterium
Lineage: Bacteria
Description: partial 16S ribosomal RNA
Rfam family: Bacterial small subunit ribosomal RNA
Source: RNAcentral